RNAcentral lists this ribosomal RNA (253 nucleotides) under uncultured bacterium. RNAcentral's name for it is "partial 16S ribosomal RNA". It matches the Rfam family "Bacterial small subunit ribosomal RNA", at positions 524 to 776 of the family's 1533-position model. The record is from RNAcentral.
AACGUAGGACACGAGCGUUAUCCGGAGUUACUGGGCGUAAAGGGCGUGCAGGCGGUUGGAUAAGUCUGAUGUGAAAGCUCCCGGCUCAACCGGGAGAGGACAUUGGAGACUGUUUAACUAGAGGCAGAUAGAGGGCUGUAGAAUUCCGGGAGUAGUGGUGAAAUGCGUAGAGAUCCGGAGGAAUACCAGAGGCGAAGGCGGCAGCCUGGGUCUGACCUGACGCUGAGACGCGACAGCAUGGGGAGCGAACGGG